This 253-nucleotide ribosomal RNA is filed under the name uncultured bacterium. RNAcentral's name for it is "partial 16S ribosomal RNA". It matches the Rfam family "Archaeal small subunit ribosomal RNA", at positions 474 to 727 of the family's 1478-position model. The record is from RNAcentral.
UACCAGCACCCCGAGUGGUCGGGACGUUUAUUGGGCCUAAAGCAUCCGUAGCCGGUUCUACAAGUCUUCCGUUAAAUCCACCUGCUCAACAGAUGGGCUGCGGAAGAUACUAUGGAGCUAGGAGGCGGGAGAGGCAAGCGGUACUCGAUAGGUAGGGGUAAAAUCCGUUGAUCCAUUGAAGACCACCAGUGGCGAAGGCGGCUUGCCAGAACGCGCUCGACGGUGAGGGAUGAAAGCUGGGGGAGCAAACCGG